AGACGCCAGGAACGCCCCGUGAGUGAGGAGAGGAGAGCGUGGGAGUCACGCGGAGAAGCCAGACCCAGACGCCGACCGGGCACUGGUGGCGCUGCCGGGGUCCCGGGGGUUCCUGGACCCCCUACCCCAGGCCCCUCCAAAGCAACUGGGGUAAACCAGACGCACUGUGAGGCCAGCGCAGCUGCUGGACACGGUCCCCGGCGCCGCUCCAACCAGACCGCGACCGCUAAGCCCCUCCUUUCGAGAAACUCUGGGGCCGCCCCUGGAAGUGGCGGGGCGAAGGGACCGGAGGAGGGACCGGAGGAGCGAGGCGCGCGGCGCAGCGAUGGAGCCGGUCAGCACGGGCGCGGAGGCCGGCAUGGAGGGCGCGGGAGGUGACCCGUACCGGCGACCUGCGCGGCGCACGCAGUGGCUGCUGAGCGCCCUGGCGCACCACUACGGGCUGGACCGCGGCGUGGAGAACGAGAUCGUGGUGCUGGCCACCGGCCUGGACCAGUACCUGCAGGAGGUCUUCCACCACCUGGACUGCCGCGGCGCCGGCCGUCUGCCCCGCGCCGACUUCCGAGCGCUCUGCGCUGUGCUGGGGCUGCGCGCGGAGGGGGCCACCACGGCCGGGCAGGCAGCAGGUGACGGGAACUCCAGAGAUGUGACCCCCGGGGAUGCGGCCGCUGAGUUGGCCACGGACGGGGACUCAGAUACCGAUGAAGAGGCGCGCCUGGCGCUGCGCGCCGAGCCGCCGGAGCUCACCUUCCGCCAGUUCCACGCGCGCCUCUGUGGCUACUUCGGCACCCGUGCGGGGCCCCGGCUGCCCCGCGGCGCUCUCAGCGAGCACAUCGAGACGCAGAUCCGCCUGCGCCGUCCGCGCCGCCGCCGCCGCCCGCCCUGCGCGCCUGGCCCCGACAGCGGUCCUGACUGUGAGCGCGUUGCGCGGCUGGAGGAGGAGAAUAGCAGCUUGCGCGAGUUGGUGGAGGACCUGCGCGCCGCGCUGCAGAGCAGUGAUGCGCGCUGCCUAGCACUGCAGGUCGGACUCUGGAAGAGCCAGGCGAGCACCCACGAGAUGGGGCACGGCGGGCCGGAGGCUGCGGUGCGGGAGCUGCGUCAGGCGCAGGGCGCCCUGGCUGCGGCGGAGGCCCGCGCUGGGCGGCUGCGCCGUGGCCAGGCCGAGGUGCGGCGGCGCGCGGAGGAGGCCCGGCAGGUGGUGCUGCGCAGCCUGCACCGCGUGCGAGAGCUGGAGGCGCUGGCGCAACAGGUGCCCGGCUUGCAGCGCUGGGUGCGGCGGCUGGAGGCGGAGCUGCAACGCUACAGGUGCUCUGCAGAUGUGUCUUUGGGGAGAAAACAGAGCAAUGACUGAACUCCCCCUGAGAAUGACAGCUUGAAGCCAUUUGGUUAGAAUAAAUGACCCAACAAACACCUUUCCAGCAUCUCCCAGUGUUCAAAGCACUUUCACAGAUACUGACUCACGCUGAUCUUCUCAUCUUCCCUCUAAGGUCCCAUCGCCAAAUAAGAUCACAUUAUGAGGAGCUCUGGGGGUCUGGACAUCAACAUAUGAAUUGGGGAGACACAACCAGCCCAUCACAGGAGACUUCUCUGAGAUGUGACCCUGGAAUUGAGGCCUGAGUGGCAAGGUGGGGCCAUGACUUGUGUGAUCCAGGGCGGAGGUGACUCCCAUAGCAAAAUCACAGGGCUGGGCACAAGCUUGGCUUGUCUGCACUGCCUGCACGGGGACGAGCAGGUUGGAGCCAGCCUGGAUGCCGAGGGGCCAGUGAGGAGGGGCCAGUGAGGAGGAGCAGGUGAAGAGCCCUCCUCACCUGUACACACGGAGUCCUGCUAAGUCUCAGCUCCAAGUGGCUCAGACCCACCUGCUACUCUCCAGUCGCACCCACCACCCAGCCCAGCCCCAGCACCACUCCUGGACAGCUGUCCUAGCCUCCUGACUGGUGUCCCAGCUCCAUCAGAACCACGGACCACACAGCAUCAGGUUAAUCUUUUCAACACCCAGAUCCCACCUCGGGCUCGCCCACUCACAACUCUCCUGUGACCUCCUCUGGUGACCAUCAUGACUGUGAGUGACCAGGCCCUUUCCCAUCCUCUCCUGCAGCCACACUGACCCUCCAGGGCUCCCCUUCUCAGGCCCUUUGGGCAUACGGCUCCCUCCACCAUCCCCAAGCCUACUCCUGACCAAUCCACAUUCACCCUUCAGGUCUUGCCAGACCCCAACUCUUUAGGGAGGCCCCACCUCCAUCUACAGCCUCUUCCUAACGUCUUUCACGGCCCCUGGACUUUUCUGUCCUUCAUGUAUUUUUGUGAUGACUUCAUUGAGGUCUGCUCCUUCGGGGGGGGAGGUUGCGGGGUAAGCUCUGUGAGGUCAGGGGCCAUGCCAUUGCUAAGGACAGUGGCUGGCUCAAUACUUCAUCCUUCGGUGAAUUAAAGAACCAAGUCAGCAGCUUGGGCUGGCAGGGCCUUAGAAGUCACCCAGCCCAGGCUGACACCCUGCACGGCGCCCCCGAGAGCUGAGUGUCCGUGUCUGCUCGCACACUCCUGUUGCACCCUUCCCACCGCCAUCCCCUGCUCAGUAAAGUUGGGGGGGUUCCCGAAUUCAGGUAGGGACCAGAGAGGAGUCACAGAGGACCCCUGAGGACUGUCCCCCCACCCCUUGUGAUUUAUUUUCCGCCCUUCCUCUGCUGCAUCCCGCCCCCCUACCCCAAGCUGUUCUUCCUGCUGUUGUUCUCUUGUUUUCACAUGUUGCUCUCUGUUUCCUGUAAGGCUGCUUCACUCAGGAAACGCCAUGCAGCAAAGGAAGCCGCUGUGUGCGAACCUCCAGGACCUCCCAGAGUAGGUGCUGCAGCGUGGCCGUGGCCUGAUGGCCCAAAGUAGCCUGGCUGGGUUCUGAGGGACCUGUCAGCUCUGCAGCUUCCUGAGACUUGCUGAGUCACUGAGCGGCUCAGAGCAUAGGAAGCAGAGAGAAAAAGACAGCAGUGACAUUUUUCAUCUAUUCCAGAAUAAACUGAGCCCAGGCGGUGUAAUGGGCUUUUGAUGCGUC
Molecule: RNA transcript, 3040 nt
Organism: Homo sapiens (human)
Lineage: Eukaryota; Metazoa; Chordata; Mammalia; Primates; Hominidae
Gene: EFCC1
Gene name: EF-hand and coiled-coil domain containing 1
Exons: 4
Source: RefSeq, marked validated